RNAcentral lists this ribosomal RNA (262 nucleotides) under uncultured bacterium. RNAcentral describes it as "partial 16S ribosomal RNA". It matches the Rfam family "Bacterial small subunit ribosomal RNA", at positions 334 to 613 of the family's 1533-position model. The record is from RNAcentral.
GAUCCCUACGGGGCGAAGCAGUGGGGAAUAUUGCACAAUGGGGGAAACCCUGAUGCAGCGACGCCGCGUGAGUGAAGAAGUAUUUCGGUAUGUAAAGCUCUAUCAGCAGGGAAGAAAAUGACGGUACCUGACUAAGAAGCCCCGGCUAACUACGUGCCAGCAGCCGCGGUAAUACGUAGGGGGCAAGCGUUAUCCGGAUUUACUGGGUGUAAAGGGAGCGUAGACGGCAGAGCAAGUCUGAAGUGAAAGCCCGCGGCCCAAC